UCCGCAGUAGCUCAACGGCAGAGCAACCGGCUGUUAACCGGUAGGUUCCUGGUUCGAAUCCAGGCUGCGGAG
Molecule: transfer RNA, 72 nt
Filed under: Pseudomonadota bacterium
Lineage: Bacteria; Pseudomonadati; Pseudomonadota
Also listed under: 2 other names
Description: tRNA-Asn
Rfam family: tRNA
About the family: Transfer RNA (tRNA) molecules are approximately 80 nucleotides in length. Their secondary structure includes four short double-helical elements and three loops (D, anti-codon, and T loops).
Source: RNAcentral